Molecule: long non-coding RNA, 968 nt
Organism: Falco peregrinus (peregrine falcon)
Lineage: Eukaryota; Metazoa; Chordata; Aves; Falconiformes; Falconidae
Exons: 2
Source: RefSeq, a predicted model, not a curated record
CAUGCAAGGGGAAACCCGCGCCGUUUAGCACCGAACCGUUCCCGUUAGAAACCAUAUCCACAGAGGGCUGCAGCACAUUCAGCACACAUCGCCACGCUGCUGGGCCUCACGAUUCCUUUUCCUCAAAAGCAGCAUUUCAUUUGGUCGCGUUCUGAUGAGGAAACUGCAAAAAGCACACCUGCUUGUACUCCUCAGGGGAGGAAAGACACAGUUAGGUUGCCAAUAAUACAAAAGCUACAGACAAAAUAAAUUCUUGUAUAGAUAGUGUUUUUCCCUAUCAGAAGGACAUUCCUUCUUACAGAGAACUAGAACUUCUAUGUUGCUGUUUAUUUUUUCCCUUUUUUCCUGCAUUUCAUUCUUUUCCUGCAGUGAUCAGUUAAACACAAUUUAUUUACAUAACAAUACCAGCUGAUUUUAAUCAGCAUUGACAAGGCCACAGGAGGACACAGCAGGAAAAAAAAUGGUUUAAAACUCAAGAUUUUUUGCCUUCCUGUGUUUGGUUAACAUCUCACUUCCAUCUGAAAUCCCAUAGUCAUAGCUAACAUAACAAUCUAAAUCUAACUUCAGAGAUAAAAAUGAGAUCAAACGAAUAAAAUGGUGAAAGGAUGAAGAAGGGAGCACACACCGAUAUAAAAGGUUUCAGAUGACAGACUGAAAAACAUCAACUGGCAUGAAAACGGAACAAGAUGUUUGAAUGCAAUGGAAUCGCAGCUUCUGCAAUGCCUGCAACCCAUCCCUCAAAGCUGUCUUCCUAAAUCACUCCAGCAGUUACGGCCGUCUCAGCUGCACACCGAGAGCACAUACUGGAACCUACCCCCCACAUACGUCCUUUUCUUGUACUCCAUCUAGAAUCUCUUUUGUCUCUUUUUUAAAAACUUAAAUAUAUAUGCAUAUAUAUAAGUAAGUUCUUUCACAUUUACCCUUCAGGAACUCAGUAUAGUUGUACAUAAACCCAGUAAUCUCUCUCA